GGCCCCGCACAAGCGGUGGAGCAUGUGGUUUAAUUCGAUGCAACGCGAAGAACCUUACCAGGGCUUGACAUACUGCGAAUCUUUUUGAAAGAAGAGAGUGCCUUCGGGAAUGCAGAUACAGGUGGUGCAUGGCUGUCGUCAGCUCGUGUCGUGAGAUGUUGGGUUAAGUCCCGCAACGAGCGCAACCCUUGUUUUUAGUUACCAAUUCGUUGGGUUUUCUAGAAAGACUGCCGGUGACAAACCGGAGGAAGGUGAGGAUGACGUCAAGUCAGCAUGCCCCUUAUGUCCUGGGCUACACACGUGCUACAAUGGUUAGGACAAAGAGUCGCGAGCUCGCAAGAGUCAGCUAAUCUCGUAAACCUAGCCUAAGUUCAGAUUGUAGGCUGCAACUCGCCUACAUGAAGUUGGAAUCGCUAG
RNAcentral lists this ribosomal RNA (417 nucleotides) under uncultured bacterium. Its description in RNAcentral is "bacterial SSU rRNA". It matches the Rfam family "Bacterial small subunit ribosomal RNA", at positions 917 to 1338 of the family's 1533-position model. The record is from RNAcentral.